Molecule: ribosomal RNA, 502 nt
Filed under: uncultured Glomus
Lineage: Eukaryota; Fungi; Glomeromycota; Glomeromycetes; Glomerales; Glomeraceae
Description: SSU rRNA
Rfam family: Eukaryotic small subunit ribosomal RNA
Source: RNAcentral
AGCAGCCGCGGUAAUUCCAGCUCCAAUAGCGUAUAUUAAAGUUGUUGCAGUUAAAAAGCUCGUAGUUGAAUUUCGGGGUCAGUAGGCUGGUCGUGCCACAGGUAUGUACUGGUCUCACUGAUUCCUCCUUCCUGAUGAACCGUAAUGCCAUUAAUUUGGUGUUGCGGGGAAUCUGGACUGUUACUUUGAAAAAUUAGAGUGUUUAAAGCAGGCUAACGCUUGAAUACAUUAGCAUGGAAUAAUGAAAUAGGACGUUUGAUUCUAUUUUGUUGGUUUCUAAGAUCGACGUAAUGAUUAAUAGGGAUAGUUGGGGGCAUUAGUAUUCAAUUGUCAGAGGUGAAAUUCUUGGAUUUAUUGAAGACUAACUACUGCGAAAGCAUUUGCCAAGGAUGCCUUCAUUAAUCAAGAACGAAGUUAGGGGAUCGAAGACGAUCAGAUACCGUCGUAGUCUUAACCAUAAACUAUGCCGACUAGGGAUCGGAUGAUGUUAAUUUUUAAUGUA